UGCUCAGUAGUUCAGCGGUAGAAUGUCUGACUGUUAAUCAGAGGGUCGUUGGUUCGAAUCCAACCUGAGCAG
The sequence is a transfer RNA, 72 nucleotides long. It matches the Rfam family "tRNA". From Rfam's summary of the family: Transfer RNA (tRNA) molecules are approximately 80 nucleotides in length. Their secondary structure includes four short double-helical elements and three loops (D, anti-codon, and T loops). The record is from Rfam.